GCACAAGCGGUGGAGUAUGUGGUUUAAUUCGAUGCAACGCGAAGAACCUUACCUGGUCUUGACAUCCCGGAGACCCUUAGGAAACUAGGGGGUGCUUCCAUCUGGAAGAAUCUGGAGACAGGUGCUGCAUGGCUGCCGUCAGCUCGUGUCGUGAGAUGUUGGGUUAAGUCCCGCAACGAGCGCAACCCUUGCCUUUAGUUGCCAGCAGUUCGGCUGGGCACUCUAAAGGGACUGCCGGUGUUAAACCGGAGGAAGGUGGGGAUGACGUCAAGUCCUCAUGGCCUUUAUGACCAGGGCUACACACGUACUACAAUGGCCGAUACAAAGGGCAGCGACACUGCGAGGUGAAGCCAAUCCCGUAAAAUCGGUCUCAGUCCGGAUUGGAGUCUGCAACUCGACUCCAUGAAGUUGGAAUCGCUAGUAAUCGUGGAUCAGCAUGCCACGGUGAAUACGUUCCCGGGCCUU
Molecule: ribosomal RNA, 465 nt
Filed under: uncultured Desulfobulbus sp.
Lineage: Bacteria; Pseudomonadati; Thermodesulfobacteriota; Desulfobulbia; Desulfobulbales; Desulfobulbaceae
Description: bacterial SSU rRNA
Rfam family: Bacterial small subunit ribosomal RNA
Source: RNAcentral